UUCCACCUACGGGGCGCAGCAGUGGGGAAUAUUGGGCAAUGGGCGCAAGCCUGACCCAGCAACGCCGCGUGAAGGAAGAGGGCUUUCGGGUUGUAAACUUCUUUUGACAGGGAAGAGUAGAAGACGGUACCUGUCGAAUAAGCCACGGCUAACUACGUGCCAGCAGCCGCGGUAAUACGUAGGUGGCAAGCGUUGUCCGGAUUUACUGGGUGUAAAGGGCGAGUAGGCGGGAUUGCAAGUCAGAUGUGAAAACUAUGGGCUCAACCGGUAGAGUGCAUUUGAAACUGCAGUUCUUGAGUGAUGGG
This 305-nucleotide ribosomal RNA is filed under the name uncultured bacterium. Its description in RNAcentral is "bacterial SSU rRNA". It matches the Rfam family "Bacterial small subunit ribosomal RNA", at positions 333 to 653 of the family's 1533-position model. The record is from RNAcentral.